UACGAAGGGGGCUAGCGUUGCUCGGAAUUACUGGGCGUAAAGCGCGCGUAGGCGGAUCGUUAAGUCGGGGGUGAAAUCCUGGAGCUCAACUCCAGAACUGCCUUCGAUACUGGCGAUCUUGAGUCCGGGAGAGGUGAGUGGAACUGCGAGUGUAGAGGUGAAAUUCGUAGAUAUUCGCAAGAACACCAGUGGCGAAGGCGGCUCACUGGCCCGGUACUGACGCUGAGGUGCGAAAGCGUGGGGAGCAAACAGG
Molecule: ribosomal RNA, 253 nt
Filed under: uncultured bacterium
Lineage: Bacteria
Description: partial 16S ribosomal RNA
Rfam family: Bacterial small subunit ribosomal RNA
Source: RNAcentral